Long non-coding RNA from Carassius carassius (crucian carp), 470 nucleotides. RefSeq lists it as uncharacterized. NCBI's taxonomy places the organism in Eukaryota, Metazoa, Chordata, Actinopteri, Cypriniformes, Cyprinidae. The transcript is spliced from 3 exons. The record is from RefSeq and is a predicted model, not a curated record.
UGCAGUUCCCAGUGUGGCAACUAGGAAAGAAAAGUGACCCAACACCAAGCAAACAGAGACAACUGCACUGGAACCUACAGUUCAAUGGUAUGUUCAGAGUGGAGGGAGUGGGAAUGGGAGUGAGACUGAGACGCUGCAGGAGGCGUCAGGCAGCUCAGCAGCUCAGCAGGGGAGUGUGAGGACAAACAAGCGGAGGGUAGCAGGACUCCUCUCUCUCUCUCUUUACACUUCACCUCCUCUCUUCAAUACACUCAGAAGAGCAUCACUGAGGAGAUCAAAUGGCUGAUGCAGGAACACGACAGCUCCUCUGUGGAACUACCUCCUGUCAAACCCAAGAAGCACCUGGUUAGAGACACUGCUAUUAUGAGUCAUUUGCUUCAUGAAUUUAAUCCAUAAAUUAGAUCCUGUAAUUUCUGGGGUUUUGAGAAAUGAAAAUAGAAAAAUAGAUGCACCUACUCUGCAAAGUAAAU